RNAcentral lists this ribosomal RNA (280 nucleotides) under uncultured bacterium. RNAcentral's name for it is "partial 16S ribosomal RNA". It matches the Rfam family "Bacterial small subunit ribosomal RNA", at positions 338 to 630 of the family's 1533-position model. The record is from RNAcentral.
CCUACGGGGGGCAGCAGUAGGGAAUAUUGCGCAAUGGAGGAAACUCUGACGCAGCGACGCCGCGUGCGGGAUGAAGGCCUUCGGGUUGUAAACCGCUUUCAGUAGGGAAGAAGCGAAAGUGACGGUACCUACAAAAGAAGCACCGGCUAACUAUGUGCCAGCAGCCGCGGUAAUACAUAGGGUGCAAGCGUUGUCCGGAAUUAUUGGGCGUAAAGAGCUCGUAGGUCGUUUGUUACGUCGGAUGUGAAAAUCUGAGGCUCAACCUCAGACCUGCAUUCGA